This 390-nucleotide ribosomal RNA is filed under the name uncultured bacterium. RNAcentral's name for it is "bacterial SSU rRNA". It matches the Rfam family "Bacterial small subunit ribosomal RNA", at positions 29 to 401 of the family's 1533-position model. The record is from RNAcentral.
AGCGAACGUUAGCGGCAGGCUUAACACAUGCAAGUCGAGCGAGAAAGAGGGCUUCGGCCCUCGAGUACAGCGGCGUACGGGUGAGUAACACGUGGAUAAUCUGCCCUCCGGUGGGGGACAACAACCCGAAAGGGUUGCUAAUACCGCAUUCGUCGGCCAGCUCUGCGGAGCAGGUCGGGAAAGGUGCCCUCUACUUGUAAGGUACCGCCGGAGGAGGAGUCCGCGUCCCAUCAGCUAGUUGGAGGGUAAUGGCCUACCAAGGCAAAGACGGGUAGCUGGUCUGAGAGGAUGAUCAGCCACACUGGGACUGAGACACGGCCCAGACUCCUACGGGAGGCAGCAGUGGGGAAUAUUGGACAAUGGGCGCAAGCCUGAUCCAGCCAUGCCGCG